GUUUUCCCUCCUCCACAUGCUCCGCGGGUAUCUGUCCCAUUACGAGGCUUUAAGGACCAGUGAAAACCUGAUGACCCCCAAAUCCUUGUAGCCUCGGGUGCUGACACGCCCACAUGCUCCUGUCCCCCCAGACACGCCCCCACCAAGCCUCCCCAAAUUCAGAGCGUGACCAGCUGCUGCCCUCUGCCAGGUGCUCACAGGGGACCUCAGUCAGUGGCCUUUGCUCCCCACCAACCCAAAGCUCCCAUGGACGCUGCCAGCCAGUCCUGGGGCUGCAACUUCCAGACUGUCCAGCCUCUGGUCGCUACCUCCUGGCCUGGCUACCUGACCACCUUGGCUCUUGGGGUUUGUCUCAACUUCAUCUGCCCCAGGCUCCCUGCCUCCGUCGGGCCACCAGACUGUCUCCAAUCACUGUCCUUUUCAAGCCCAAGGCACGUCACAUCAUUCUUCUGCUGAAACCCUCCCAGAAUCUCCUCUCACUCUGAGCAUGCCCAGUGUGACGGCACCGGCUGCCCCUCUCCUCUGCAGUUCUCCUGCAGCCACGGCCUCUCCGCCGCUGGAAUGUCCAGGUCCCCACCUGCCUCGGGCCCCCUGCACCCAUCCACCUCUCCAUGAGGACAUCUCCCUUCAGAAGGCUGCCGGCUCACCCCCUCACCUACCUUCCCGGCUUUGUUGACAUGCCACCUUUUCAACAGAGUGGCACCUGGGGCACUUGUGCCCGCAGCCACUCACCCAUCCCAGCAUCUGUUUCGUGUAUGGCCUGAGACAAGAGCAGGUGUCCUGGACUCUCUGCUUGUCACUGCAUCUGUGCCUAGGACAGCCUGGCGUGUGGCAGAGCCCACAGGCCUCUGCUGAGGGGGUGACGUGUGGAGACGCUGCUGCUUCCUCCGGCAGGCAGCCCCAUGGGGAGGGCCCUGGAGCAAGUCCUCGGGCCCCAGCAUGCUCUCCAGUGUUCUGAGCGGGGGUCCUGGCCCUGUGGUCUGCAUGGUCGGGGACAGGCAUCAAAGUCGGGUCAGCUCACCAGCUGCACCUCUUGACACAUUCUUGCCAGUGGCAGGGCUGGAGCGGGUGGGCAGUCUCAGUCCAUCUCAGACUCAGGCAUGUGGGGCCCUGCUGCUGUGCACACCAUGCCCUCAUGCCCACCUUGCGCGCACACGCAUGUUCAUUGCCUGGUGCUGCCACCGAUGAGAGAGCUGCAGGUUCUCAACCUGCUAACAACUCAUCGCAGCCUGAAAUUGGACUGAACCCCAGCUGGGCUUUCCUGUCAUGGCCACUGUGUCUCACAUCAUAGUUCAGAGGCCAGAGGGCC
This 1309-nucleotide long non-coding RNA is filed under the name Marmota monax (woodchuck). Lineage: Eukaryota; Metazoa; Chordata; Mammalia; Rodentia; Sciuridae. The record is from RNAcentral.